Molecule: long non-coding RNA, 372 nt
Organism: Oreochromis aureus
Lineage: Eukaryota; Metazoa; Chordata; Actinopteri; Cichliformes; Cichlidae
Exons: 3
Source: RefSeq, a predicted model, not a curated record
UCAUCUUUGAGUUCAUCUACAGUCUUGGACCAAAUCAGAAGAAAUAAUCCUGAAGCUUUCAUGUUGUUGCUUUUCUCUCAGAUAUGCAGACUUGUUUUAGCAGGCAGGGAUGUUUUUAUUCUUUAUUUACAAGAUGAAAUUGACUUUGGUCUAAAAAUGUGUCGUUUUAACAGAACAGCCUUCUGUGCACCAACUACACGUAACAGCCUGUAAAUAACAGCUCAGCUGCAGUCUAUUUGUGCACCUACAACAUCCCAACACCUGCUGAUGUCCCCACUCUCAGUGUGAAAGUCCACACAGAGGUGGAGCCCACAGUUAUCAAAGGACACACCAUCAACCACAGAGAUCAUCCAGGAGCUCCCAGUGGACGAC